CGAGUUCUAUAAACGGUGUUCCUAAGCUCCGGCUUUCCCUUGCCCGUAGUCUCCCCUGGGCUUUCUUACCUUGCCGCGGACUCCAAAACCCAGACUGGUUGGAUGCGACCUCCGCCUCUGCGCUAAAGUGGAGAGAAUCCUCGAAAACUCCAUGGCCUGGGAGCUCUUCCUCUGGCUCUACGCCUUCGCCUCUGUGAUCUCUCUCAUCGCCCUGACCGCGUACCAGCUUAUUAACUUGUCUGAUUUGGAGUUUGACUAUAUCAACCCAUAUGAUUUGUCCUCUCGCAUCAAUGCCGUCGUCAUUCCAGAGUUCCUGGUUCAAGGAAUCUUAUGUGCUUCUUUCCUCCUAACAUGGCAUUGGUUUCCAUUUUUGAUAAUGGUACCCAUCACUUAUUACCAUAUAAACCUGUUUAUGAAUAGAAGACAUCUUAUUGAUGUUACUGAGAUCUUUAGAUUGCUAAAUGGAGAAAAGAAGUACAGAAUAAUCAAGCUUUCUAUCUACUUCAGCAUAUUUGUUAUAGUCAUUUACAGGCUCGUGAUGUCUGCUGUCCUCUUACUUAUGGAUGAAGAUGAUGGUUCUCUGGAAUCUGGGAUUUUUUAACAUUCCUGAGCUGAGCCUGGCACGUACUCAUCUUCUAGACAUUCUUUAUGGAUUUGGCUAGCUCCAUUGUGCAUGGAAAGGAAGUUUCCUUUGGAUUAUACAUGUAGUGCACAUGAAGAUUCUCAUGUUUGGCAGUGGCUUGCUCCUAAAGUUUUUCUGCAAAUGCUGAUGUAUUGCCCACAUGCAUCUCAAAGUUAUGGCUAUGUUGUACUAGCAUCCAAUGACGUCUGCAUUUGCUGCUGUGCAGUGAAGCUGAAUCUUAUCCAUCCUUAAUGAUAUUCAACUGCAUAUUAUUUCAGGUCUUCAUGCUUUAUCCGAUCCUCAUUUACAGAAAUCUAGUAUGACUACUGAAGCCAUCACCUGGGCUGUUGGAAACUGUUUUGUAAACGAUCCAUGGGUCAAUUAUUUGAUGUAUCAUCUAAUACAUUCUUAUAUGAAAUUGUUAUUAAAUUAUUGUAUUUUAAGAAUAUUGCACAUUUUGGUAGUUAUUGUUAAUCAUUUGCCACUUUGUUGC
Molecule: RNA transcript, 1115 nt
Organism: Elaeis guineensis (African oil palm)
Lineage: Eukaryota; Viridiplantae; Streptophyta; Magnoliopsida; Arecales; Arecaceae
Gene name: protein cornichon homolog 2
Source: RefSeq, a predicted model, not a curated record